AGGGUGACAGGUGGUGCGAUGGUUGUCGUCAGCUCGUGUCGUGAGAUGUUGGGUUAAGUCCCGCAACGAGCGCAACCCUCGACCUUAGUUGCCAGCAUUCAGUUGGGCACUCUAAGGUGACUGCCGGCUAAAAGUCGGAGGAAGGUGGGGAUGACGUCAAAUCAUCAUGCCCCUUAUGACCUGGGCUACACACGUGCUACAAUGGGCGGUACAAAGGGUCGCGAACCCGCGAGGGGGAGCCAAUCCCAAAAAGCCGCUCUCAGUUCGGAUUGCAGGCUGCAACUCGCCUGCAUGAAGCCGGAAUCGCUAGUAAUCGCGGAUCAGCAUGCCGCGGUGAAUACGUUCCCGGGCCUU
This 354-nucleotide ribosomal RNA is filed under the name uncultured Anoxybacillus sp. Its description in RNAcentral is "bacterial SSU rRNA". It matches the Rfam family "Bacterial small subunit ribosomal RNA", at positions 1028 to 1382 of the family's 1533-position model. The record is from RNAcentral. Lineage: Bacteria; Bacillati; Bacillota; Bacilli; Caryophanales; Anoxybacillaceae.